UACGGGGGGGGCAAGCGUUGUUCGGAAUUACUGGGCGUAAAGGGCUCGUAGGCGGCCAACUAAGUCAGACGUGAAAUCCCUCGGCUUAACCGGGGAACUGCGUCUGAUACUGGAUGGCUUGAAUCCGGGAGAGGGAUGCGGAAUUCCGGGUGUAGCGGUGAAAUGCGUAGAUAUCCGGAGGAACACCGGUGGCGAAGGCGGCUUCCUGGACCGACACUGACGCUGAGGCGCGAAAGCUAGGGGAGCAAACGGG
RNAcentral lists this ribosomal RNA (253 nucleotides) under uncultured bacterium. RNAcentral describes it as "partial 16S ribosomal RNA". It matches the Rfam family "Bacterial small subunit ribosomal RNA", at positions 524 to 776 of the family's 1533-position model. The record is from RNAcentral.